RNAcentral lists this ribosomal RNA (744 nucleotides) under Pseudocercospora angolensis. RNAcentral describes it as "eukaryotic LSU rRNA". It matches the Rfam family "Eukaryotic large subunit ribosomal RNA", at positions 95 to 871 of the family's 3401-position model. The record is from RNAcentral. Lineage: Eukaryota; Fungi; Ascomycota; Dothideomycetes; Mycosphaerellales; Mycosphaerellaceae.
GAAGCGGCAACAGCUCAAAUUUGAAAUCUGGCGCAAGCCCGAGUUGUAAUUUGUAGAGGAUGCUUCUGGGUAGCGGCCGGUCUAAGUUCCUUGGAACAGGACGUCAUAGAGGGUGAGAAUCCCGUAUGUGAUUGGCUUGCACCCUCCACGUAGCUCCUUCGACGAGUCGAGUUGUUUGGGAAUGCAGCUCUAAAUGGGAGGUAAAUUUCUUCUAAAGCUAAAUACCGGCCAGAGACCGAUAGCGCACAAGUAGAGUGAUCGAAAGAUGAAAAGCACUUUGGAAAGAGAGUUAAAAAGCACGUGAAAUUGUUGAAAGGGAAGCGCCCGCAACCAGACUUUGCGGCAGUGUUCGGCCGGUCUUCUGACCGGUUUACUCGCUGUCGUGAGGCCAUCAUCGUCUGGGACCGCUGGAUAAGACCUUAGGAAUGUAGCUCCCUUCGGGGAGUGUUAUAGCCUCUGGUGAUGCAGCGCGUCUCGGGCGAGGUCCGCGCUUCGGCAAGGAUGAUGGCGUAAUGGUUGUCGGCGGCCCGUCUUGAAACACGGACCAAGGAGUCUAACAUCUAUGCGAGUGUUCGGGUGUCAAACCCCUACGCGUAAUGAAAGUGAACGGAGGUGGGAACUUUUUGUGCACCAUCGACCGAUCCUGAUGUCCUCGGAUGGAUUUGAGUAAGAGCAUAGCUGUUGGGACCCGAAAGAUGGUGAACUAUGCCUGAAUAGGGUGAAGCCAGAGGAAACUCUGGUGGA